UCCCUAUGGGGUGCAGCAGGCGCGAAACCUCCACAAUGCGCGAAAGCGUGAUGGGGUUAGCCCGAGUGCUAUCCGAAAAGGAUGGCUUUUCCUUGGCGUAAAAACCCAUGGGAAUAAAGGGGGGGCAAGACUGGCGUCAGCCGCCGCGGUAAUACCAGCUCCCUGAGUGGUAAGGACGAUUAUUUGGCUUAAAGCGUCCGUAGCCGGCUUAGUGAGUCUUUUGUUAAAUCCAAUGAUUUAAUCAUUGAACUGCAAGAGAUACUGCUAUGCUAGAGGACGGGAGAGGUCGACGGUAUUUCCGGGGUAGGGGUGAAAUCCUAUAAUCCCGGGAAGACCACCAGUGGCGAAGGCUGUCGACUAGAACGCGCCCGACGGUGAGGGAUGAAAGCUGGGGGAGCGAACCGGAUUAGAUACCCGGGUAGUCCCAGCUGUAAACGAUGCAGGCUAGGUGUUUGGGCGGCCACGAGUCGCCCUAGUGCCGCAGGGAAGCUGUUAAGCCUGCCGCCUGGGGAGUACGGCCGCAAGGCUGAAACUUAAAGGAAUUGGCGGGGGAGCACCACAAGGGGUGAAGCUUGCGGUUUAAUUGGAUUCAACGCCGGAA
This 601-nucleotide ribosomal RNA is filed under the name uncultured archaeon. Its description in RNAcentral is "bacterial SSU rRNA". It matches the Rfam family "Archaeal small subunit ribosomal RNA", at positions 319 to 923 of the family's 1478-position model. The record is from RNAcentral.